This 85-nucleotide transfer RNA is filed under the name Bacillota bacterium. RNAcentral describes it as "tRNA-Leu". It matches the Rfam family "tRNA". From Rfam's summary of the family: Transfer RNA (tRNA) molecules are approximately 80 nucleotides in length. Lineage: Bacteria; Bacillati; Bacillota. The record is from RNAcentral. RNAcentral also lists the same sequence under 2 other names.
GCGGUCGUGGCGGAAAUGGUAGACGCGCAAGACUAAGGAUCUUGUGGAGCGAUCUGUCCGGGUUCAAGUCCCGGCGUCCGCACCA